Oncorhynchus tshawytscha (Chinook salmon) is the source of this 550-nucleotide long non-coding RNA. The record is from Ensembl. NCBI's taxonomy places the organism in Eukaryota, Metazoa, Chordata, Actinopteri, Salmoniformes, Salmonidae.
CCUGCCCAUAUCUCACUGCCCUGCCCAGCCCAUAUCUCACUGCCCUGCCCAGCCCAUAUCUCACUGCCCUGCCCAUAUCUCACUGCCCUGCCCAUAUCUCACUCCCCUGCCCAUAUCUCACUGCCCUGCCCAUAUCUCACUGCCCUGCCCACAUCUCACUCCCCUGCCCAGCCCAUAUCUCACUGCCCUGCCCAGCCCACAUCUCACUCCCCUGCCCAUAUCUCACUCCCCCGCCCAUAUCUCACUCCCCUGCCCAUAUCUCACUCCCCUGCCCAUAUCUCACUCCCCCGCCCAUAUCUCACUCCCCUGCCCAUAUCUCACUGCCCUGCCCAUAUCUCACUCCCCUGCCCAUAUCUCACUCCCCUGCCCAAAUCUCACUCCCCUGCCCAUAUCUCACUGCCCUGCCCAUAUCUCACUGCCCUGCCCAUAUCUCACUGCCCUGCCCACAUCUCACUCCCCCGCCCAGCCCAUAUCUCACUGCCCUGCCCACAUCUCACUCCCCUGCCCAGCCCAUAUCUCACUGCCCUGCCCACAUCUCACUCCCCUGCCC